Long non-coding RNA from Puntigrus tetrazona (Sumatra barb), 2070 nucleotides. RefSeq lists it as uncharacterized. The record is from RefSeq and is a predicted model, not a curated record. The transcript has 3 exons. NCBI's taxonomy places the organism in Eukaryota, Metazoa, Chordata, Actinopteri, Cypriniformes, Cyprinidae.
UUCUAAAUAUAGCCACACUCUUCCACCGCAUUUGGCACAGACGUGGAGGGUCUGUUUUAUAAAAGUAGAUUUGCACACGAGGUAUGAAUGCAGCUGAUAGACACGCCGUGGCUUUUUACUUUUUGAACACACAUCACACCUCUCGGGGGAAAAGACAACAGGAUGAAUUAUCAGCUCGUCAAACGAGUCCUUAGUCAGCAGUAAAUCCCACAGUUCCAAGGAUCUGGCCCGGCGUGAUCCGUCACACAGUCUCCAGGCAGGAGAAGUAUAGCGGAGGAAGAGAGUCAGCUGGCAAGCAAAAGACCAUGGGGGAUUAUUCAUCACGCUCUCAGCACGUGCAACCAUCCGACAUUCAACAGCUCAGAUGUCUAAUAAAGAGUUAUGGCGCUGUCAACACAAGGACGUUUCUUCAAUCUGUCGCAUUAACACCCUUAAGAAAAAGUGUGUUUGAAGGGAUAGUUCACCCCAAAAUUAAAAGAAAAAUGUCAGCAUGAAAAUGUUAACUCUUCCUCAAGUUGUUCCAAACUUAUAUGUGUUGGACACCGAAGAAGAUAUUUUGAAGAAUAUUGUAACCAAACAGUUGAUGGCAGCCACUGGCUUCUACAGUACUCAUGUUCAUGGCUACCGUCAGAUGUUUGCUUACCAACUUUCUUCAGAACAUGUUCUUGUGUGUUCAACAGAACAAGAAAAAGUCAAGGGUGUUGAUAAAUGAAAACAUUUUUAUUUUUGCACAAACUGUCUAUUUAACUGUAACAAAUCUGCACUUGUAGUGUACUUCAAAUCUUAAAAGUAUAUUUCUAGCAAAAUACUCGAUAGUAUUUUUAAUUACGUCAAAGUAUAUUUUAGUUUACCAUAAAUGCUUAUCAGUGCAAUUCAACCAUAUUUCAAAGACAAUAAAACAAAAUCACAUAAAAAAUAUGCACUUCGGAUUGGAUUGCAUUUAAACAUGUAUAUGUAUUAUAAACUAAGUGGCCUAAAACAUUACAUGCAGCUUGGACUGAAGUAUAUUUGGUUACACUUUAUUUUAAAGUCACCUUGUUACAGUGUAACUAUACUUUUAAGUACAGAGUAAUAUUAAUUAACUACUGUACAUGUACUUACUAUGGGUUAUUUGCAUGUUAUUGUGCAUUAUUUUCUGAUUUUAUAAUAACAAGGGCACCUUAAAAUAAACUGUUACGAUAUAUAGUUUUACUGUAUAAUACUUCUGUAAUAAAGACUCUUUUUGCUAGUAUUCUAAAGUGCACUCCUUUUCCACAAGGACAUCCAAGAACGUACUGGCAAGGACAGUUAGCACUAAACUUUUUCAAAUCUGGGUUCACUAGAGGUUGAUUAUCUUUCAGAAUGUUUCAGUUUUGGUUACACAACACAUUAGCUGAGAACAUGACACACGAUGAGUGCAACUGUAGCGUAUGUGCGUUUGACACGCAUGAGCUGCAGUGCAUGCAUAAAAUCUGUAGAUUUCGCUACGCCUGACCCCAUUCCUCUUCUAUAAUUUCCCAUCAGCCUUCACUAUCCCAAGGAAAAAAGGCCCAAAAACAGGACAGUAAAGUUCAGAAUAUGUCACAAGACCAUUAAUUUUCUCGCCACUUCUAUGUGAAAGCAGAAAAUCAAUUAAAAGCAGCUUUUCUGGAGUGCAGCAAUGCCGGAGGUGUGUCGUGGGUGCUGACCCGCUAGUCAUUAACGCUCUCGAUGCGUUUCUGUGUGUACAUCGAAGCAGGAUGUGGGCGGUAAAGCCAAUCCUCCUUCAGGGUCGCUUGAGUUCUUCUCUCAGCGCCGUCUUGUGUAACGCUAUUCACGAUACUCGCCUUCGGUCUUUAUUGGUAUGUUUCAGCUGACGUGAGUGUGGGAUUAUACGUUACUGAACCUAAAACUCUGCCCUUUUCGAACACCAUCAAAAGCUCCUUUGCUGAAACUGACCUCGAUGCUAAAAACAGCAUUGUGGAGUCUUGCAUUGCAUAACUCAUCUCACAACAAAGAGAGGCCUCUAGUGUUAGUGACGAGACCUGUGGCAAGGUUUUCCAUUAAGACAGAGAGGUCACAGAUAUAAGCGUGUACCUGUGAGGCUGAGCU